RNAcentral lists this small nucleolar RNA (107 nucleotides) under Eutrema salsugineum. RNAcentral describes it as "Plant small nucleolar RNA R71". It matches the Rfam family "Plant small nucleolar RNA R71". Rfam says of the family: R71 is a member of the C/D box family of snoRNAs containing the C (UGAUGA) and D (CUGA) box motifs. Multiple nearly identical copies of this snoRNA have been identified in Arabidopsis, and it is thought to function as a 2'-O-ribose methylation guide for 18S ribosomal RNA. The record is from Rfam by way of RNAcentral. Lineage: Eukaryota; Viridiplantae; Streptophyta; Magnoliopsida; Brassicales; Brassicaceae.
AAUCCAUGGUUAGGGCAAUCACGUUCAUACUCCUUAAAACGUUCCCAAGCUUCAUAGAAAGAUUCAGUUUGCCCUUGUUGAAAGGUUGAGAUCUUCGUUCUCAAAUU